Molecule: RNA transcript, 2114 nt
Organism: Melozone crissalis (California towhee)
Lineage: Eukaryota; Metazoa; Chordata; Aves; Passeriformes; Passerellidae
Gene: GLT1D1
Gene name: glycosyltransferase 1 domain containing 1
Exons: 13
Source: RefSeq, a predicted model, not a curated record
AGCGGAGCGGCCGCGAUGAGGCUGCUGCUGCUGGCGUGCCUGCGGGCACAGACCGGCAACGCCACCACGGCCGCCAGGAUCCGGAAUCAUCUACAGGCUGCAGGCCACAUCUGUGUUCUCAAAGAUGCUUUCAUGUAUGGAAGUGCAGCUGAAAUAGCAAACCUGACCUCCUCAGACAAGUUUGAUGCAGCCCUGGCCAUUCACCUCUAUAAAGGAGGCAGACUGCUGCAAGGGAGCAGAAUUCCCUUUGGGAUCAUCUUUGGAGGGACAGAUGUCAAUGAAGACGUGAAGUGCAAAGAGAAGCGCCAGGUGAUGGGAGCAGUGCUGGAGAGAGCCAGGUUUGCGGUGGCUUUCACGGUGGAAAUGAAGGAGCUGGCAGCAGCAGAGUGGCCAGAUGCUCGGAAGAAAAUUUAUGUCCAAAGCCAAGGAAUCAAGGCUACACCCAGUGAAACAUUUGACUGGUACCAAUUUCUACAAAAUGCAGGCAUCCCUGCAGACUCAGGCCCUGUGCAUCUGUUCCUCCUGGUGUGUGGGCUGCGCAGAGUGAAGGACCCUCUGUACCUGGUGGAAGCUUUCUCAGAGUGGCACAGAAAGGAUCCCAGUGUCCAUCUGGGCAUUAUUGGACCUGCAGUUGAUCCACUGUUUACCAGUGAAGUUGAGGAGAGAGUUAAAAGGGCCCCCGGGGUGCGCGUGCUGCAGGAGCUGCCCCAGCCCGAGCUGCACGCCGCCCUGCGCUGCUGCCUGGCCCUGGUGAACAGCUCCAGCUCCGAGGGCAUGUCUGCUGCCAUCCUGGAGGCAAUGGAUUUAGAGGUUCCAGUGCUGGCCAGGAACAUUCCCGGGAAUGCAGCAAUAAUAAAGCACAAGGAAACGGGGCUGCUGUUCUCCACUCCCCAGGAGUUUGUUGCGCUGUCCAAGAGUUUAAUGAAUGACCCCACUCUGGAAAAGGAAAUUGUGACCAGGGCCAAAGAGUACGUGGAGCAGCAUCACUCCUGGGAAGGGGAGAGGAAAACCUACCAGAGCCUUGUGCAGAGACUGCAGUGACCGGCAGGGCCAGCAGAGCCCUUGAGUGGUGGCAACGUGAUGGGGUUGGGGUUCCUUGGGUUCCUUCUGAAAAACAGCCAGAAAUUGUUCAAUAGAGUAACAGCCCAGAGCCGAGCUGCUGCAGGGCCAGGCUGAGCCAGGGCAGCCCUGGGCAGUGCCAGGGCAUUGCUGCUCUGAGCCCUCCCAGGGCAGUGCCAGGGCAUUGCUGCUCUGAUCCCAGGGCAGUGCCAGGGCAUUGCUGCUGUGAUCCCAGGGCAGUGCCAGGGCAUUGCUGCUCUGAGCCCUCCCAGGGCAGUGCCAGGGCAUUGCUGCUGUGAUCCCAGGGCAGUGCCAGGGCAUUGCUGCUCUGAGCCAGGGCAGUGCCAGGGCAUUGCUGCUCUGAGCCCUCCCAGGGCAGUGCCAGGGCAUUGCUGCUCUGAACCCUCCCAGGGCAGUGCCAGGGCAUUGCUGCUCUGAGCCCUCCCAGGGCAGUGCCAGGGCAUUGCUGCUCUGAGCCCUCCCUGGGCAGUGCCAGGGCAUUGCUGCUCUGAGCCCUCCCAGGGCAGUGCCAGGGCAUUGCUGCUCUGAUCCCAGGGCAGUGCCAGGGCAUUGCUGCUGUGAGCCCUCCCUGGGCAGUGCCAGGGCAUUGCUGCUCUGAUCCCAGGGCAUGCCAGGGCAUUGCUGCUCUGAGCCCAGGGCAGUGCCAGGGCAUUGCUGCUGUGAUCCCUCCCUGGGCAGUGCCAGGGCAUUGCUGCUCUGAGCCCUCCCUGGGCAUUGCCAGGGCAUUGCUGCUGUGAUCCCAGGGCAGUGCCAGGGCAUUGCUGCUCUGAGCCCUCCCAGGGCAGUGCCAGGGCAUUGCUGCUGUGAUCCCAGGGCAGUGCCAGGGCAUUGCUGCUCUGAGCCCUCCCUGGGCAGUGCCAGGGCAUUGCUGCUGUGAUCCCAGGGCACUCCUGGCACACAGAGUCCCAGGGAAUGCUCUGCCCAUGCUCCCUCCCACCCUGCAGCACUGCCAGCCCCUGCCCACAGCCAGGGGCACUCACACACCUGCUGAGGCCCGGCUGCACGAGCAGAGGAUGAACUAUGGACACACAGCU